RNAcentral lists this ribosomal RNA (198 nucleotides) under Hyalymenus pulcher. RNAcentral's name for it is "partial small subunit ribosomal RNA". The record is from RNAcentral. Lineage: Eukaryota; Metazoa; Arthropoda; Insecta; Hemiptera; Alydidae.
AUUAUUAACCAGUUUUGAUUUAAGGUUGAUUCUGUCUUUAUGAUUAGUUUUAUUUUAAUUUUAUAUACUAGUUUUUGCGUGUUAUAAUGGGAUCUAAAAGGUUUAUUUUAAUUUAUUUGUAGUUUAUAAUAUUAAUUAUAAAUUUGGUAACAUAGAUUUAGUUAAUUUUAUUAGAAUUGUUGAAAAUUGUGCCAGCAU